CCUGGUAGCUCAGAUGGUAAAGAACCUGCCUGCAAUGCAGGAGACCCUGGUUCGAUUCCUGGGUCAGGA
RNAcentral lists this transfer RNA (69 nucleotides) under Bos taurus (domestic cattle). It matches the Rfam family "tRNA". Rfam says of the family: Transfer RNA (tRNA) molecules are approximately 80 nucleotides in length. Their secondary structure includes four short double-helical elements and three loops (D, anti-codon, and T loops). Further hydrogen bonds mediate the characteristic L-shaped molecular structure. tRNAs have two regions of fundamental functional importance: the anti-codon, which is responsible for specific mRNA codon recognition, and the 3' end, to which the tRNAs corresponding amino acid is attached (by aminoacyl-tRNA synthetases). tRNAs cope with the degeneracy of the genetic code in two manners: having more than one tRNA (with a specific anti-codon) for a particular amino acid; and 'wobble' base-pairing, i.e. permitting non-standard base-pairing at the 3rd anti-codon position. The record is from Rfam by way of RNAcentral. RNAcentral also lists the same sequence under 3 other names. Lineage: Eukaryota; Metazoa; Chordata; Mammalia; Artiodactyla; Bovidae.